CGCUCAGGACGAACGCUGGCGGCGUGCUUAACACAUGCAAGUCGAACGAUGAACCACUUCGGUGGGGAUUAGUGGCGAACGGGUGAGUAACACGAUGGGCAAUCUGCCCUGCACUCUGGGACAAGCCCUGGAAACGGGGUCUAAUACCGGAUACUGACCUGCCAAGGCAUCUUGGCGGGUCGAAAGCUCCGGCGGUGCAGGAUGAGCCCGCGGCCUAUCAGCUUGUUGGUGAGGUAAUGGCUCACCAAGGCGACGACGGGUAGCCGGCCUGAGAGGGCGACCGGCCACACUGGGACUGAGACACGGCCCAGACUCCUACGGGAGGCAGCAGUGGGGAAUAUUGCACAAUGGGCGAAAGCCUGAUGCAGCGACGCCGCGUGAGGGAUGACGGCCUUCGGGUUGUAAACCUCUUUCAGCAGGGAAGAAGCGAAAGUGACGGUACCUGCAGAAGAAGCGCCGGCUAACUACGUGCCAGCAGCCGCGGUAAUACGUAGGGCGCAAGCGUUGUCCGGAAUUAUUGGGCGUAAAGAGCUCGUAGGCGGCUUGUCACGUCGGUUGUGAAAGCCCGGGGCUUAACCCCGGGUCUGCAGUCGAUACGGGCAGGCUAGAGUUCGGUAGGGGAGAUCGGAAUUCCUGGUGUAGCGGUGAAAUGCGCAGAUAUCAGGAGGAACACCGGUGGCGAAGGCGGAUCUCUGGGCCGAUACUGACGCUGAGGAGCGAAAGCGUGGGGAGCGAACAGGAUUAGAUACCCUGGUAGUCCACGCCGUAAACGGUGGGCACUAGGUGUGGGCAACAUUCCACGUUGUCCGUGCC
This 813-nucleotide ribosomal RNA is filed under the name bacterium EAB-2EF51.14. Its description in RNAcentral is "bacterial SSU rRNA". It matches the Rfam family "Bacterial small subunit ribosomal RNA", at positions 21 to 847 of the family's 1533-position model. The record is from RNAcentral.